GAUGAACGCUGGCGGCGUGCUUAACACAUGCAAGUCGAACGGAAAGGCCGAAGCUUGCUUCGGUACUCGAGUGGCGAACGGGUGAGUAACACGUGGGUGAUCUGCCCUGUACUUCGGGAUAAGCUUGGGAAACUGGGUCUAAUACCGGAUAUGACAAUCUCUUGGAUGGGGUUGUGGAAAGCUUUUGCGGUAUGGGAUGAGCUCGCGGCCUAUCAGCUUGUUGGUGGGGUAAUGGCCUACCAAGGCGUCGACGGGUAGCCGGCCUGAGAGGGUGUACGGCCACAUUGGGACUGAGAUACGGCCCAGACUCCUACGGGAGGCAGCAGUGGGGAAUAUUGCACAAUGGGCGCAAGCCUGAUGCAGCGACGCCGCGUGGGGGAUGACGGCCUUCGGGUUGUAAACGCCUUUCGCAACCGACGAAGCUUUUUGUGACGGUAGGUUGAGAAGAAGCACCGGCUAACUACGUG
RNAcentral lists this ribosomal RNA (467 nucleotides) under uncultured bacterium. RNAcentral's name for it is "partial 16S ribosomal RNA". It matches the Rfam family "Bacterial small subunit ribosomal RNA", at positions 28 to 507 of the family's 1533-position model. The record is from RNAcentral.